UUUUAGCCCAGAUGGUAGAGAAAAGCCCGGAGCUAAAAAAACUAAUUUUUCUUGCCGAAAAACAGCGACCAGCGGAAGCCCGUUUUAUGGUUAGAAAAAUAGUUUUUUUAGCGAGGACUUGAAACGACAGCUGGAAUAGCU
Molecule: unclassified non-coding RNA, 141 nt
Filed under: Flavobacterium hercynium
Lineage: Bacteria; Pseudomonadati; Bacteroidota; Flavobacteriia; Flavobacteriales; Flavobacteriaceae
Description: Flavo-1 RNA
Source: RNAcentral